GCAUUCUCCAUUUUCAUCAUCUCUAAAAUCUCCAAGUCACACUUCCAAGAGUUUGUAGUGAGGAUGAGAUUUGGGAAGAUUGUGGAAGGCUUGAAGUCGAAGAUAAAGGCAAGUCUAAGGAUGAGGAAGAGAUCCUCACUAUCAUCAUCAUCGUCCUCAUCAUCAUUAUCAUCAUCAUCGUAUGAGAAGAUAGAGAAAAGUGACAGUAUGAGGUUUGAGUUAAGAAGCAGAAAGGCACACAAAAUUAUCCAACAAACUCUUCGGAUUGCCGACUCUCCAACCUCAAGAACUUAUGCUUUCUGAUUUCAUCUUUUUACCAUCCAAAACACAUUCAUACAUACAUAUGGACUUGUGUUUACGCAUAUCCGUUUAUACAUAUCCAUCUAAAUUAUUAUAAAGUGUGUAUGUAUGUGUGAAAGGUUAUAUGGAUGAUGUCAUGGGUGAUGGAUCCCAUCUUGGCUAAUGGAUGGUGAUUAUGUGAAUUCAACGUUAAUGGUCAUUAGUAUUUCUGU
This 512-nucleotide non-coding RNA is filed under the name Sinapis alba (white mustard). The record is from RNAcentral. Lineage: Eukaryota; Viridiplantae; Streptophyta; Magnoliopsida; Brassicales; Brassicaceae.